RNAcentral lists this transfer RNA (64 nucleotides) under Zygeupolia rubens. RNAcentral's name for it is "tRNA-Glu". Lineage: Eukaryota; Metazoa; Nemertea; Pilidiophora; Heteronemertea; Lineidae. The record is from RNAcentral.
UUGUUUAUGGUGUAAAGAUCACGCUAGUUUUUCGUGCUAGAGAUGCAGUUUUCUGUUAAAUAAU